RNAcentral lists this ribosomal RNA (465 nucleotides) under uncultured bacterium. RNAcentral describes it as "partial 16S ribosomal RNA". It matches the Rfam family "Bacterial small subunit ribosomal RNA", at positions 338 to 795 of the family's 1533-position model. The record is from RNAcentral.
CCUACGGGAGGCAGCAGUGGGGAAUAUUGCGCAAUGGGCGAAAGCCUGACGCAGCGACGCCGCGUGAGGGAUGAAGGUCUUCGGAUCGUAAACCUCUGUCAGCAGGGAAGAACGGUCACUGUGCUAAUCAGCAGUGAAUUGACGGUACCUGCAAAGGAAGCAUCGGCUCACUCCGUGCCAGCAGCCGCGGUAAUACGGAGGGUGCGAGCGUUAAUCGGAAUUACUGGGCGUAAAGCGCUCGUAGGCGGUAUGUCAAGUCAAGGGUGAAAUCCCCGCGCUCAACGUGGGAACUGCCUUUGAAACUGGCAGACUGGAGUGUGUGAGAGGAUAGUGGAAUUCCAGGUGUAGGAGUGAAAUCCGUAGAUAUCUGGAGGAACAUCAGUGGCGAAGGCGACUAUCUGGCACAUAACUGACGCUGAGGAGCGAAAGCGUGGGUAGCAAACAGGAUUAGAUACCCUUGUAGUC